Molecule: ribosomal RNA, 497 nt
Filed under: uncultured bacterium
Lineage: Bacteria
Description: partial 16S ribosomal RNA
Rfam family: Bacterial small subunit ribosomal RNA
Source: RNAcentral
GAUGAACGCUGGCGGCGUGCCUAAUACAUGCAAGUCGAGCGCACAGACGAGGAGCUUGCUCCUCUGACGUUAGCGGCGGACGGGUGAGUAACACGUGGAUAACCUACCUAUAAGACUGGGAUAACUUCGGGAAACCGGAGCUAAUACCGUAUAAUAUAUUGAACCGCAUGUUUCAAUAGUGAAAGACGGUUUUGCUGUCUCUUAUAGAUGGAUCCGCGCCGCAUUAGCUAGUUGGUAAGGUAACGGCUUACCAAGGCAACGAUGCGUCGCCGACCGGAGAGGGUGAUCGGCCACACUGGAACUGAGACACGGUCCAGACUACUACGGGAGGCAGCAGUAGGGAAUCUUCCGCAAUGGGCGAAAGCUUUACGGAGCAACGCCGCGUGAGUGAUGAAGGUCUUCGGAUCGUAAAACUCUGUUAUUAGGGAAAAAAAAAUGUGUAAGUAACUAUGCACGUCUUGACGGUACCUAAUCAGAAAGCCACGGCUAAAUACGUG